This 301-nucleotide ribosomal RNA is filed under the name uncultured bacterium. RNAcentral describes it as "partial 16S ribosomal RNA". It matches the Rfam family "Bacterial small subunit ribosomal RNA", at positions 509 to 807 of the family's 1533-position model. The record is from RNAcentral.
CAGCCGCCACGGGAAUACGGAGGGUGCAAGCGUUAUCCGGAUUUAUUGGGUUUAAAGGGUCCGUAGGCGGAUCUGUAAGUCAGUGGUGAAAUCUCACAGCUUAACUGUGAAACUGCCAUUGAUACUGCAGGUCUUGAGUAAAUUUGAAGUGGCUGGAAUAAGUAGUGUAGCGGUGAAAUGCAUAGAUAUUACUUAGAACACCAAUUGCGAAGGCAGGUCACUAAGAUUUAACUGACGCUGAUGUACGAAAGCGUGGGGAGCGAACAGGAUUAGAUACCCCCGUAGUCCCUGUCUCUUAUAC